UCUGCAAUAGGCGAAAGCUUGACAGGGUUACUCUGAGUGAUUUCCGUUAAGAAGAUCUUUUGACACCUCUAAAAAUGGUGUAGAAUAAGGGGUGGGCAAGUCUGGUGUCAGCCGCCGCGGUAAUACCAGCACCCCGAGUGGUCGGGACGUUUAUUGGGCCUAAAGCAUCCGUAGCCGGUUCUACAAGUCCCCCGUUAAAUCCACCUGCUUAACAGAUGGGCUGCGGAAGAUACUAUAAGACUAGGAGGCGGGAGAGGCAAGCGGUACUCGAUGGGUAGGGGUAAAAUCCGUUGAUCCAUUGAAGACCACCAGUGGCGAAGGCGGCUUGCCAGAACGCGCUCGACGGUGAGGGAUGAAAGCUGGGGGAGCAAACCGGAUUAGAUACCCGGGUAGUCCCAGCUGUAAACGAUGCAGACUCGGUGAUGGAUUGGCUUAUUGCUAAUCCAGUGCCGCAGGGAAGCCGUUAAGUUUGCCGCCUGGGUAGUACGGUCGCAAGACUGAAACUUAAA
Molecule: ribosomal RNA, 509 nt
Filed under: uncultured Nitrososphaerota archaeon
Lineage: Archaea; Thermoproteati; Nitrososphaerota
Description: bacterial SSU rRNA
Rfam family: Archaeal small subunit ribosomal RNA
Source: RNAcentral